This 299-nucleotide long non-coding RNA is filed under the name Elaeis guineensis (African oil palm). RNAcentral's name for it is "long non-coding RNA (EGUI_LNC011552)". Lineage: Eukaryota; Viridiplantae; Streptophyta; Magnoliopsida; Arecales; Arecaceae. The record is from RNAcentral.
ACCCGAGAUAGAUAUAGAGCAGAUAUAGAUAUGGGUUUUUUCCUAACGGGAUGGAUAUAGAUAUCAGUCGAUCCGAUCUAUUCCCACUCGUACUAGCAAGUAAAUGUUGCAAUGGUGGCAAGGAGGUUGACCAGCUAGUUUUCAAGUUGGCAAAGUUCUUGCUAUAUCCUUCAAAUCCCUCAAAUGGAGGGCCAGGCGCCAAGUGAUCCAAUGACCCACGAAAUAAUGCCUGUUAAGCAUUCACCCCACUUUUUCUACAUGUGAAUCCACAUGCUUGGAUUAGCAUUAAGGUUUACCAU